GACGAACGCUGGCGGCGUGCUUAACACAUGUAAGUCGAACGGAAAGGCCCUGCUUGCAGGGUACUCGAGUGGCGAACGGGUGAGUAACACGUGGGUGAUCUGCCCUGCACUUCGGGAUAAGCCUGGGAAACUGGGUCUAAUACCGGAUAGGAGCCAUUUUUAGUGUGAUGGUUGGAAAGUUUUUUCGGUGUAGGAUGAGCUCGCGGCCUAUCAGCUUGUUGGUGGGGUAAUGGCCUACCAAGGCGGCGACGGGUAGCCGGCCUGGGAGGGUGGACGGCCACAUUGGGACUGGGAAACGGCCCAGACUCCUACGGGAGGCAGCAGGGGGGAAUAUUGCACAAUGGGCGAAAGCCUGAUGCAGCGACGCCGCGUGGGGGAUGACGGCCUUCGGGUUGUAAACCCCUUUCAGUAGGGAGGAAGCUUUUGUGACGGUACCUAGAGAAGAAGCACCGGCUAACUACGUG
Molecule: ribosomal RNA, 464 nt
Filed under: uncultured bacterium
Lineage: Bacteria
Description: partial 16S ribosomal RNA
Rfam family: Bacterial small subunit ribosomal RNA
Source: RNAcentral